UUUUUUUUUUUUUUUUUUUUGUCAAACGAUAGAUUUUGUUAGAUUAGAUGUUAGAUUAGCCACCAGAGGGGUUUGAACCCACACACCGUCAUGCAAGGGCUCAACACCUUUCCACCACUGUAGUAUAAGGCCACUAGCACACUUUUUCCACUCUAAGACUAGUGCAAUCUAACUUAGGUUGCAUACAUUAGUCUCAACCACAAUUCAUAAGAAUUUCAUAUCCUUGCCAUUUAUUUAUUAGAAGCAGAUUAAAUUUGACAUAAGUUUCUGUAUGUUACUUUAAAAUUUGAUUGAAACGCCCAUUCUGAAAUGAGACACACUUGAAGGAAAAAAAAAAAGAGUUAACUUUAAUAUUUAAAAGUUAAAACUAAAAUGAAGAGGGAGGGGCGGAAGACAACUAAAAAACCUUACCUCCAGAAUGGUGUAAAUAGGCACUGUAGUCUCUCCAUCAAUGACAACACUCUUAAGAAGUGAACUGUGACGACGACCAUAGGCAAGUAAUAUAUGCUCUGACGUAGGAGAGAACUGCCACAAAAAUCAAGGAAUAACAAAAUGGAAUAAGUGUACAAUGAAAAUACAAAUUCUUUGCUUGAUCAAAAAGAAAUAUAAAGGAAAAAAAAAACUUCAAAUGAUUAGGUCAUGAAUCUUUUGCAUAUAAAAAAAAUUAUCAAUUUAUUGCUUAUUUGUUCUAAUCAUAAUGGCAGUGCAUUGGAAAUCUAAGUCAUAUACCAUCAGCUGUUGGAUUGAAUAUUGAAACAACAUGAUCACACAUCAACAAUACAAGGCAAACUAUAACAGAUUCCCCAUACAUAUAACAUACCUAUGUAUGUAUGUGUUUAUAUACCGCUACAUAACAACACCAUGCUUCAACUUUAGAUUUUCUGGUGGCAUAUGCCUUUUAAAGAGGUCGCACUUGGUGCGAUGGCAAGUGCCUUCGCCCAUGAGCGGUAGGUCUCGGGUUCGAGACUUGGGAGCAGCCUCUCCAUAAAUGGGGGUAAGGCUAGCCGACAUUCACCUCUCCCAGACCCUGCGUAAAGCGGGAGCCUUGUGCACUGGGUACGACCUUUUAUAUGCCUUUUCAAAAAUAUAUGCAAAUGCAACUUACUACAUUCUAUCCGCAAAUGCAAUUUAUUACAUUCUAAGCACAUAACAGAUAUCUUAUCAUAACUCCUGAGUCUCUAACUCAACUAAAGCUAAGCUGAGCAUUGGCAUGAAUUAUUGAGCUCUUAUGCUGAGAUUUCAAGGGAUGCACUCCAUAUGGGGCUACUAACCUUAGUUUUCAGUUAAAAUGAAACAUUUAAGUUUCCACUAUAGAUUUUCUUUAGUCUUAGGGAAAACAGUUAAACAAGUAAAGAAUGGUUGGAAAAUCAAUGAGAAACUAAUGAUUAAGAUGAACCAAUAAGUCAAACAUCUUCAAAAUGUAGCUGACCUGAAUAGAUGUUAGGCAGUGGGCAGCUCUUAUUGCCCGGGAUGCAAGAACCGUUCCAAAUCUAGAUAAAUAAAAGAAAAUCAGGCUGUAGAAAGAAGGAAAAUGCAUAUGGAAAGCUAAAAGAGAGGUAAGAAAAGAUAACACAUAUUAUAGGGAGUUAAAGGUUUACGUUGCUUCCUCAAGGGAAUAUAUCCGGAGCUCAUACACGACAUGGUGAGCUGAUAUUGGAUGUCGAGUUGGGGAAGUUGAUGCCCCUGUCACGUCAUGGUUGACCUGGCUCUGCAAUCCAAGAUCAGCUUCCAUAUGGGGUAACAUACAUGCAACACAUGCAGCUAAAAACCUUCCGCAAGGGGAAAAAUGGGCACCCAUCUCACUGAAACAAAUUAUCAAAGUAAAAAUCCAAAAAGAUAUGGCCAGUAAUACUAUUAAAGUCCAAACAACCAUGCAAUGCUGAAGGAGAGAAAGAAAAGAAAAAAUAGCCAAACAUUUCAUGAUCAUCUACUAAUCAAAUAUUUGUUUGAAAAAGGUGUAGAUCCAGUGAAAACAAACUGCCUUUGACAAAAAAAAAAGUAUACACAAACUACCAACUGAUGUUGCAUCCUUUAUGAAUGUACUGGUUUUGCAAGACUUACGAAUAAGCUAAAAGCAAUGUAAAAGUAAAUAAAGCAAUAAAGUACCAUGAAAGUUUAGAACAGAAAGAAAACUACCUACAAAGUACAGCAUGUGGAAUGGUUAAGCGACAUCUUUCUGCAUCAAGGGGAGAACAAGGAUUUUUCAAAUCAUGUGGCCAAAUUCUGAGCUUCACAGUGCAAGGCAACUCUGCAGCUGCUGCUGCAGCGAGUGAGUUGGCAAGUUCAGAUUGGAUUCUGCUCACAACAGGUUGAGGCUCACUUUCAGCAUGCGGAAUACUAUUGAAUCCAGCACCUUCAUUAGAUCCAAUUGUCGACACCAUAUGAGUUCUUGAAGUACGAUGCCGGGUACUAGAUCUUCCAGUAACCCUGGAUUGGUUCACACCGGUUGGUAUUACUGAAGAAGUUAUGGCUGGAUUAUCCAUCUCACCAUGUGCAGAUGGAUUAUCUUGGGUAGCAUCACUUACCGGCCGCAUAUUCCGUUGGCUAGCUUGGGUCUGACCAAUUAACCACCCUUGCAAGAAAGGAAGUUCCCAAUAUGUUGAGUCACCAAAUGGGAAAAUAUGAUUGCUCCUCCCUUCAGGCUGCACUUCCAUAGCCUCUAAACUGUCCACUGCAGGUUGAGAAACUUCAGUUUCCAUUUCAUUCAAGAAAGUAUUAGUUUCUGUCUCUUCUGGUGCUGGAGAAGAGCUACUAGGUUCAAUUGGGGACAGCAGAAGUUCAUACUGCCCUGAAGGAGUUGAAUAUGUUAGCAAGCGCACUGAAGCAGAAGGAUCAACUCGCUGUAGCGCACUACUUGAACCAAUGUCCACGUUACUACGCUGCAUAGAUAUUCUCCCAUUAUCUCUAUCAAAUGAAGGCCAUAUCAGAAAUGGUAAAGACAUAAGAGGUAGUCCAUCUACCAAACCAGAACGAUCACUAGAUUGACCAUCUGCCAAAUAUACAGUAGGUGGAGGAUAGCGCAAAUAACCCAGAGAAGUUGCAAGUGUCAUCGAGGAAUCUGAGGAGUCAAGGUCAUUCACCUACAAAUAAGAAAAAGACAUGAUUAAAAUAUAUUUAAUCAAAGAAACGAUUAAUAUUUGUAACAAACAAAGAAACAGAAAAAUGACUACCCAAAAACUUACCUCAGCAGUUAAAAGGAAAGGAGCUCCAUGAGGGUGAAAAUGCACAGCCCGGAGCGAACGCCGUGUCUUCAGUACUAUGGUUGGGGAGGAUGUUUCCCCUCUCCUAUUGUAGUGCCAUAUGUACAACUAAUGCAAGAUUUAAUGGUUAAGGCCAUUAAUAAGAAUUGUGCAUCGGUAGUUAAAAUUUCCAAAUAAAAAAACUUACCUUGUGACCUGACGCAACUGCAAGCAGCUCACCUUGGGCAUGGAAAGCUAUGGAAGCAAUAGGACGCACUGUGUGGAGAAAAAAGCACUAAAAAUCAUAUCCAUGACACAAACUUAAUAAAAAAAGAAUAAAGUGUUUGUUUUAAUGAUUGAUAAUCCACAUUAAAACUUACAGAAAUCACGAGAUCCUAAACACUCUGCCGUUUUUGCAUCCCACAAGCGAACUUCGUGAUCCAAACUUCCACUAGCCAAUAUGUCUGGAUACAAGGGAUGAAACCUAACCUGCAAAAGCACAACCAGCUGGUGAGAAAAGCACAGCAAGCUAAUGAAAUGUAUCCAGUAGCUAUGCUUAAGUGUCAGAUCUGGUAACCAGCAAGUUUGUUUAUGAAUAAAACAACUAGAUUAAAGCGGCAACAUCAACAAAAAGUUUAGGAUAACACAACCCAAAGACUUUUGAUGAAAGCAUAAAACUUCUUGCAGAGAGAAUUUUAGCAUCCUAAGCAUAGAUUGUAUUCUAAGAAUAUGGAUGAAAAAUAAGCUUCAAUGUUUCACUAAAUCUCUUGAGGUUCUGUUUACAAAAUUGUUCACGGCAUCUUGCAGCAAGCUGAAGCAAGAAGCUAACAAUCAAAGUCAAGUAUUCUAACAAAACAAAAAAUUUCAGAGUCAAAAUAUCGAGUGUUGUAGACUUACCACCCACGGUGUCCUACGGUGACCACUCAAGACCUUUAAGCAAAUCCCAGUUUGGCAAUCAAUAAUCUUAACCGUAUGGUCUCCGCUGCAGUUACAGUUGCAAUUGAAAUUUAAUAAAUGAUACAAUCUUAGAAUAAAUAUAACUCAACACUAAGCUUUAGCCAAACCCUACACCAGGCCAAGAUAUAUAUACAUAGCAGGACUUACUGAGUUGAGGCCAGUGUCCUUCCAUCAGGGCUGAAGGCUGCUGCAAUAGUUGACCGUGGAGGAGGCACAAGCGGACAAUAUUUGGCAGACAAAUGCUGGAGUGACUCUGCCUCCACCCUGAAGGCAAUUCAAUAUCAAGACAAACCAUGAAUAGGAAGAUCUAACCGAAUGCAAAAUAAUUCAAACAACUAGGAAAAAAAACAGUUUGCUUCUGUUUUGUUGCAAGAAAAUAAAGAGAGAACGACUAAAUGAAUUGGCAGGUUACCAUGAGAUAAGGCUGUGUCUAGCAUCUCUAGCUGCUUCAAACUUUGGGCCAACGGAAUCAGAAUUAGACUUAGAAGGUUCCCCCCAUAGCUUCUUUGACCAAUGUUUCGUCUGCGGAGAAACCUCUCUCUGUGCUAACAGUCUCAGAACAUUGCUACCACUGCCAGUUAACAUCAGAUGCGUGCAAAUCAGUUUCAAAUCCAAAAUCAGUCCCAAUAAAUAUUCCAAUCCGAAUUUACAAAAUCAACACCGAAACCAUUUCCCAAAGCACGAAGAGUACUUAAAAUAACAUCAACCAAAAACAAUACCUCGGUACCUCCUCAAUCUAAAAAAAAAUUCUUCCUAAAUUCGAACCAAUUUCGAGAAUAGCAAAUCAAUUGAAAACCCAAUUCGGAUUGGAACUAAUUCAAUUAUGAUCACCAUGCAAAAACCACAACGUCAAAGCAUGAACACAUAUAAUUUGCAAAAGCAUUAAACCACAAGGCACCAAUUUGGUAACUGAAUUACACAAAAACUCAUCGAACUCCCACCAAUAUUCAACAACAAAGUCCAAGAUUCACCUGUGCUUGCACGGAUUGGGCUGAGGUACGCGCGGGACAGAGGUGAACGGAGAAUUGGGCUCGUCGGCCCACAAAGAACCUGCCCUCAUAAUUUUCCCGGGAAAAUGUCAUAAUCUCAGCUUUUCCGGCAUUCUACGGGUAAAUUCAAAUUGAUAGCUUAAAAAUCCAGUCAAAUUUUCACAUGCAGAUCAUGACGCCGUGGAAAGUGUAAAUUGAAUAGCAGGGGCGUUAGAAUCGAACUGAAUUGAACUGAGCUGGGGGGGUGGAUUCGGUUUCGGCGACCGCGACGUAGGGCGGUGGGGGAGCGAGGCGGCGAGAUCUCCGGUCGGCGGGGAGGGGAAAUUGGGAGGGGAGAGUGUCCGAGCCUCUGUGCGUGUGGCCGUGGAAUUUGGAUUUGGAAAAUUCCGUCUUGGGUUUCUCUGAUGGGCAUUGGACAGAGGAGGGAGAGGAGGGGGGUUGCUAGGCGGCUAGGAACCUAGGGGAAGUUGUUUGUUGGACGACAAUGCCCUUGGCCUUGUGACCUCAGCUGUGGUGUCGUGGAGUGUCAACGGCACGCGUUUUGAAUUUUGUCAAACGAGGUUGUAAGGUACCGUUUGGUAUGCAGACGAGACGGAAUCAAACCGGACGGGAUGAGAUGGGACGGGACAAAAUAGAUGUUCCGUGUUAUGUUUGGUAUGCGUAGGACGGAACGGAAUUGUUGUUCCAUUCUGCGUUUGGUAACCGCAUGAACGGAACAGAAUCAAAAGGUAAAUGACUAAAUUAUCCAUGUUCUAUCUGUUGUUUGGUACAACAUUUAUGUAUGGUACGGGACGGGACAAUUAUUUUUUAUUUUUUUAUUUUUUUAACUUUUUCAUAUUUGAACACAUAUAUACUUAUUCAUUAUUUGUUUUUCUCCCAUGAACUAACCUUAUAUUGAGAUAAGCAUUUCUACCGUUCUAGUAGAAGCAAGCAUGCACAUAAUUGCUUCCUAGAAAGGCAGUCCCAAGAGAGGUGAACAACCAAGUUAAACCAAAUUAUAGCAUAAAUCACGGAUACAGCAAUGGAAAACAUAGAUAAUUCGAUUGGAUUCAUUUUGUUUGGCAAAAUAUGCUGCUUCAAAAGCGACACUAGAUAGUAAAAGUGAAAACAGGUAAUAAAAACUGAAAAUUUACUCGAGGAACUGCAGUAAAAUGGCAAAAUCAAACAAAUUGGUAGAACUUCAUGUCGUCUAAGAUGACUAGAUUAGUAAAAUUCUGAAUAAAAUUCAACAGUACCAAAUCGAAAACAAAAGUAGCAUCCUGAAUAAAAUUUCUCCCAAAAUUCUGACACAUAGCCAAUGUUGGAUAUCAAUGCACAUCCCUUGAACUUUCGCCUGACACGUGAAUCAAUACCCUUGGGCCUUCUCCAGCUUUCCU
This 6501-nucleotide long non-coding RNA is filed under the name Malus domestica (apple). Its description in RNAcentral is "long non-coding RNA (MDOM_LNC012289)". The record is from RNAcentral. Lineage: Eukaryota; Viridiplantae; Streptophyta; Magnoliopsida; Rosales; Rosaceae.